GUUGUUCGGAAUUACUGGGCGUAAAGGGUUCGUAGGUGGCCAACUAAGUCAGAUGUGAAAUCCCUCAGCUUAACUGGGGAACUGCGUCUGAUACUGGUUGGCUUGAGUGCAGGAGAGGAACGCGGAAUUCCAGGUGUAGCGGUGAAAUGCGUAGAUAUCUGGAGGAACACCGGUGGCGAAGGCGGCGUUCUGGACUGCAACUGACACUGAGGAACGAAAGCCAGGGGAGCAAACGGG
This 237-nucleotide ribosomal RNA is filed under the name uncultured bacterium. Its description in RNAcentral is "partial 16S ribosomal RNA". It matches the Rfam family "Bacterial small subunit ribosomal RNA", at positions 540 to 776 of the family's 1533-position model. The record is from RNAcentral.